CGGACGGGUGAGUAAUGUAUGGGGAUCUGCCUGAUGGCGGGGGAUAACUACUGGAAACGGUAGCUAAUACCGCAUAAUGUCUGCGGACCAAAGCGGGGGACCUCCGGGCCCCGCGCCAUCAGAUGAACCCAUAUGGGAUUAGCUUGUAGGUAAGGUAACGGCUUACCUAGGCGACGAUCCCUAGCUGGUCUGAGAGGAUGAUCAGCCACACUGGGACUGAGACACGGCCCAG
Molecule: ribosomal RNA, 232 nt
Filed under: uncultured bacterium
Lineage: Bacteria
Description: partial 16S ribosomal RNA
Rfam family: Bacterial small subunit ribosomal RNA
Source: RNAcentral